CAAAAUAGUAUCAGGUAGGAAAAAAGCAGGCAUUUAAGACGGGUAGUUAACUCAUCCUUACAAAUGUCAUAUAUUAGGUUACUAUAUGGUCUUGCACACCAU
Molecule: long non-coding RNA, 102 nt
Organism: Sapajus apella (tufted capuchin)
Lineage: Eukaryota; Metazoa; Chordata; Mammalia; Primates; Cebidae
Exons: 3
Source: RefSeq, a predicted model, not a curated record